ACCGUGUCGCCUCAAAGGACAACAAUGUUAAAACACAUGAGUGCAAGGCAUGCUGGGAAGUCCUUUCUACCCCAAAUCACCAAGGCACGAGCCAGACAUCCAGGUCAACACGUCAGAUGAAGAGAGACGUUGUAAAGUCCAAUAAAUUAGUGUGCCUCGUGCCAAAGACAAAUGAGUCACUGGACGCGGAUGGCCCCUGACUCCGCCGCACUUUGGACUUUGACGUGUGGCAUCAGCUCCGUGAGCAAACACAGCACAGCACAAUUCUAUUUGGCUUGAUGGCUUCCUGUCACGGGUGAAGGACAGUGGUUGAGGGGGAGUUUUGUUACUGCUGGAGCUAGUCGAUGCCUUACAAUAGUUAGUUAGCCUUAAUGAUGCGCAUCGACGCAACCCAAAGACUUUUUUUUUUUUGGUGCAGGGCAAGCGUUUUAGGGACGAGGCGCACAGGUGGAGCUGCGAGGUGUGUGCAGGCAGAGCGGCGAGGCUUACAGGCAUGUUCAGGGGUCAAAAUGUGUGCCUGUUAGUUGGCCACUCUCUGGGAGGGGAGAGCACUGAUGUGAUGAUGAAUUUAUUUUUACCUCCGCCAAGUGCAAGCCAGCGUUUAUCUGUUUGUUUGUAUUCAAAAUAACUUGGAUUUGGAUGAAAUUUUCAGGAAUUGUCAGCAAUGGGACAUGAAAGAGCUGAUUACAUUUUGGGGGUGAUCUGGAUCACCAUCUGGAUCCAGGAAUUAUUUAAAGGAUUCUUUAACAUCGCCAGAUAGCACAAUUUUCGGCAUUUGUGCAUAUAACUACACAAAGAAUGGUCAGAGCACACAAAAAAAAUGCAGGCCAAGUUUCCAACAGGUUCUACAAAAUAUCAAAGACUGAUCCAAAAAAUGUAGGAUUAUUAUUUGUGUGAAUCACAAUAUGGGGGGAAUUAUGGCGCUUGGCGGAGGUCUGCUCACUUCGAGUGCUUCUCUAGUUCCUAAUAUUUUCAGGAUCGACUGGCAUAGACCCAUAGAUCGACUGGUCAAUCGCGAUCGACGGGUGGGCAACUCCUGAUGUAAGCUAAUACGAUAAUAAUAUGUAGUCGUCCCUCCCUACAUUGCGGUUUGAACCUCGCUCGAUCGUGUUUUUUUCAAAAAUGAGUAAAUGAUUGUUAUUUCAUGGUUGACUGUGGCCUAUAAUAUAUACAGUAUUACAUUAAAACUGUAUACACAAUAUUGAAAGACAGGUCAUAUGUAUUCUGGUCACUAGGCGUCAGUAAAGUUACACUGAUGAGACAUUACCUGCAUUAAGUCAGCCAUGGAUGAUGAGUCUGACAUGACAUGGUGGAAAAAAAGUUCUCCCACAUUCCGUGUUGCAGUGGUACAUUUUUGGCUUCGUACUUUGUCCUUCUUCCCCACCCAGUUUCAAACCUAAUCUUAAGUUUAGAAUAAAUAACUUGGAGGCUAACUAGUUAGCUCAGUAGAUUGCUAUGGUAAAAGCGGCAGCCGUCUCUUGUGAUACCAUAGCCUGCACAUAAGUGGUGCACGGUGUGAUGUAAAAAGAAAAAAACAAACCUAGCAGUAUUGUCGUUGAGUGUAUGUGUAUGUCUGGCAGAUUGAUAUAACCAAGUGACAAACGUCAUAGUGAGGAUGGAUGAUAGGCUGAUGUCAAUCUUUUUUUUUUUUAUGCCAUGCGAUCGACUCACAUUACUUUCGAGAUGCUACAACAACAAGAAACUCCCAAUGCUAACGAUGGGUUAUUAUGUCUUAUGUCUACUAUAAUAGGUAAUACGAGUUUAAAGGUGAUUGUAGGGGUGUUAUUUCGUGUGUACAGGGCUCUAAAUAAUGUUAAAAACAUUUUUAAAAGGUCAUAAACAAGUUUUCUAUGCUAUAACUACAAAAUAUUCCAUUUAUUAAUACUGAAUCCUACUUUGCAGAAAUUAAUCUAUCACGGUCGGGGCUGGAACCAUUUAAUCGCAAUAAAGGAGGGACGACUGUAUAACUUCAAGAUACCCAAAGCACUUCACAAUGAAAGACACUAUUCUUUGAGUCCUCAGUCACACAUUGGUGGUGGUAAUCUCCAGCUGUAGCCACAGAUGCCCCAGGGUAGACAAUUAGUGGCUAACUUUCAUUCACAUUUAUACACCAGUGUGGGUUGUACUGGAGUGGGUAGAAGGGUCUUGCCCAAGGACACAACAACAGUGACUGGGAUGGAGCAAGUGUGGUAGGAACCACCAACUGUCCAGUUUCUGGAUGACCUAUUCUUACCUCCUGAGUCACUGCCGUCCGAUGCUGAAUUACGAAUAUGCAGGGAUCCACUGUAUAUGACUGAGUUUACUAACCAAAAAUCAUGGCUGACCACUGCAAUAAGCUAGUAUUUUUUUGUUUGUAAAUAAAUUGUCAUUAGUCCUGACUACAAACACCCGUCUUUUUUCUGAACCUUCAUCAUUUUUAAAAAACACUUUCCAAACUGUGCCUAUAACAGAAAGAUUAUGGUUUAAACACGUCUUUGUACCUUUCUAGUGCGUUGUAAGCCCCUGUCGCGGACCCUGGGUUGAUGUAGAACUUGUUCUCGUUCUCAAAGGCCUCAAACUUGUGCGUGUGGCCUGAGAUGAGGAUGUCCACAUCCAGCUGCCUCUGAAGCAGAGCCAAGCUAGCCAUGUCCCCCCAUGGGAUCACCUGGUGGCCAUGGAUGAGCCCGAUCUUGAACUGGCCCACCGUCACCACCUUCUGUUCUGGGUAGUUCAGAUUCUGAAUGGGACAUAAAAAAAAAAAAGCCGGUUGUGAAUUUGAACUGUCGUCAGUAGAAAGUAAACCACUUCUACUGUUGUUUAAACACAAAACAAACCUCAUCAAAGUCUCCUCGGACUAUGUGGACGUCGCCGGCGAGAGUCUUCAGGUAGUCGUAGCUCUCCUUGGUGCACAGGUUGCCCGUGCAUAGGAUGUGCUGGAUCUUUCCCGGGACCAGCAGCUUCUUGAACUUGGCUGGCAGGGUGUUGCACCGGUGGGGGAUGUGCAGGUCACCUAACACCAGGACCAACUGGUGGAAUCACACACACAAAAAGACAGGUUAGCUUCUCGUCAAUGAGCUAUACUGAAAACAGGAGUGGACCAACAAGGUCUCCCUGGGGUACACGCAAGUCGAUUUCUCCAGCAAAGAAGGAUGCCAGGACCACUAGAAGCUCUGUUGUUGACAACCAGAAAAAUACUGUUUACACUAGGGAUGCUCCGAUAGCUCGGCCACUGAGCGUGUGAUUGGCAUAUGCCGAAAAAUGCCUUUAAACUCUGAUCACAAAAGCCGAACACCUGUGGCUAGCACUAUUGCAGCUCCCAGUAACCCUUUCAUGUAGUGUAGUGUCUUCUUGCCCUAACUGACGUCUUGGGCAGCGUCGUCGUCCCACUUUCUUUCAAAACAAAAGCAAUCAUGGCUGCCGUGUGGAACUGAGCUGCUAACACAUAGCACAAAAACUAUUUUGCGGGGGUAACACGUUAAAAAGCUUGAAUUUAAUACGUCAUUUGAAGAACCAUCACUUGACGGAGUAUGGUGAGUUUUGGAGGCUCAUGGCAGCUCACAUCAAACGGCAGCUAAUGCAGCCAUGUAAGUAACACUCACCCGGAUGUGUGUGACAGUCAGACAGCUAAGCUAAUA
This is a long non-coding RNA of Dunckerocampus dactyliophorus (ringed pipefish), 3614 nucleotides long. RefSeq lists it as uncharacterized. The record is from RefSeq and is a predicted model, not a curated record. The transcript is spliced from 3 exons. Lineage: Eukaryota; Metazoa; Chordata; Actinopteri; Syngnathiformes; Syngnathidae.